This is a non-coding RNA of Kogia breviceps (pygmy sperm whale), 1497 nucleotides long. The record is from RefSeq and is a predicted model, not a curated record. Lineage: Eukaryota; Metazoa; Chordata; Mammalia; Artiodactyla; Physeteridae.
UCCAUAGUAACAAUGCAGAUUGGGGGUUGCCAGGGGCAAGAAGGAGGGGAAGAACAGAAACUGCUGAGUGCGUGUAGAAUUUUAUUUUCUGGUGACGGACGUGUUUGGGAGCUAGAUUGAAGUGUGGUUGCAUGAUAUUGUGGAUGUGUUAAAUGCCACUGAAUUUUUCACUUUCAGAUGUUUAAUCUUAUGUGAAUAUCACCUGAAUGAAAUGUUUAAAAUUCUCAUACACACAUGCAUGUCAUUGCACCAAAAAUCUUGAAAUGCAUAAAUGUCAUCAUACUAUAUAUACUGUGAUGGUUAAUUUUACGUGUCAACUUGACUGGGCUAAGCAAUGCCCAGACAGCUGGUAAACCAAUUUCUGGGUGUGUCUGUGAGGGUGUCUCUGGAAGAGAUGAGCAUUCGAAUUGGUGGACUGAGUAGAGAGGAUGGCCCUCCCAAAGGCAGGUGGCGUCAUCCAGUCCACUGAGGGCCUGAAUAGAACAAAAAGGCAGGAAAAGUGAGACUUUGCUCUGCUUGAGCUAGGAGGCCCAUCUUCUCCCACCCUUGGACAUUGAUGCUCCCGGUUCUCUGGCCUUCAGACUUGGCCUGAAUUACGCCAGCAUCUUUCCUAGGUCUACAGGUUGCGGACAGCAGAUCGUGGCCCCAACUUCCAUAAUGCCAUGAGCCGAUUCCUGCUGUUAAUAAGUCGUGCUGACGGACAUACCCACACCGCCUCUUGCAGACCCACUUGGGAUCAGUGACGUGCAUUUGUAGGACGGCUGAAGUCGAAGUGCAGUUUGUAACUGUGUUAGGAGCAAAGUUAACUGGUCCACAUGGGGACUGAACCCCAAACCAAGGCCUCAUUCCAGCUGUGCCUGAGCCGUGGAGACAGCCGGUACCCAGACAAUUAGCUUUGCAGGAAGAGUCUCUCUUCAAGUGGGUCCUUACUGAGCAAAACCACCUUUUGAAGCAAAUAAAACAAGGUCAUACUGGUUUUCUUCCUUGAAAUGGAGUCGUUUUCCUCAGCGUCCUCCAAUAUAAGAUUUAAUAAUGAGCUAGUUUCAGAGGUUCAUCACACGGUGGUAAAAAGCAAGCAAUCAUCCGUAUUUUCUUCAUUCAGCUUGCCGACAGCUGCAGCUACUUUCAGUUGUCUACAGGCAAGGGCGAGGGCAGGGACGACGCUCUUCUUACGUGUACGGAGCAUAUCUGCCAGAGAAGGAUGUUUACACAACAGCCAUUGUGACCGCUCUGCGAAUGAAUGCCUGCUCUUCCUUGAGUGGUCUUCCCUAAUGAAGACGGACCCUGCCCUGGUGCCAGAUUAAAGACACCUGCCAGGAGUUACAAAUCAGAAUGCUCCAGUCUGAGGGAUGGCAACAGCUCGGCAAGGGGUCAGAGCCAGGUGCCUGGAGCGUCUGCAGGACACGGGAGCUGCCCUCAGGGUCCUCCGAGGUGAGUGGGCACUUAGGUUCGUGGCUUUACCACAGCCCAUGCCCCCGUCCCGAGCCGUCCACGGGG